RNAcentral lists this non-coding RNA (30 nucleotides) under Mus musculus (house mouse). The record is from RNAcentral. Lineage: Eukaryota; Metazoa; Chordata; Mammalia; Rodentia; Muridae.
UACUCUCCGUAAAGUGGUCCUAUGAUGUGU